GAGCUAUAACACUGAGAAUAACUUUUAUGAGGCCUUGUGGGAAUCUUGUUCUUUAUGAAAUGCAGUGAUUAUGUUCAGAGGAUGGAAUAAAUGUUCCUGUGAACUUUUUAAAAAUAAAAGGAAGGAAGGAAAGAAAUGAGAGCAUUUGUAGCUUCAGGGGCCACGUACUCUACCACAGGCAGUUUACUGGAUUUCAUGCCCUAGCUUUCACCCUAGAGUGAGGUUAGACACACCUAGAGACUACUCUAAAGAGCAGAAGUUAACUGAUACUCUGUGCCAGCAGGGAAUUGUCAAGUAGUUUCAGUCAUUUGCUCUCUCCUGUAAUGGAUGAUGAAGGCAGAGCAAUGUGAAUCUAAAGUGGAUUCUUUCCAAGGCAUACAAAAGAGAAAACUAAUAGUGUACUCUCACAAGAUUGGUGCUGCCAAGCAAGCACCAGAAUUUAGUCUCUUUCUGCACCACUGACUCCCUCUCCUGAGGACUCAAUGAAUUAGGGCCUCAUCAGCUUGGAAAUAGGAGGAUACAGGGGGAAACUAAUGAUGCAUCACUUCAGGACUUGAAGAAGCAGUUGUUAGUAGCUGACAUGGAGAACAGUUUUGCCUUAUCACAGCAGUAAUGAAAUCUACUGUAUUAAAUAUCACCAGAAUUUGUAACUCCAUUGUGAAGAUUAUCUACGCUAUUGGGAAAUUUCACUGCCUUAUCUCACUCAUUGGGAAAUUCCAUGUAACUAUGAACAUUCAGUAUUGUUGUAUGCCACUGUGUGGGAAACUGCUGAUCACAGCCUGAACCUCAGGUUGACCACCUGAGGCAAGCAAUGAGCCAGCUGUGGAAGCACAGGUGAAGGUAAUUCAGCUGUGCUCCUGGAAGGGGGGAGCUUGGCUCCACCUCUUCUAGACCCCAUUUAAUGGCUGACUGCCACUGAGGGAUGAUCUUUUUCCCUGAAGAUUUGAAGAUUCUUUCUCUGUGGUGUUUAUCGUGAGCCUUCAACACUGGUGAGCAUUUCCAUUUAUUAUCACUUAUCUUGCUAUCGCAGUAAUGCUUUUUAAUGAAGCAUCUGUUCAGAUCUUUGUUUACUUAUUCAUUGUAUGCUUAUUGACUGUACAGCCAUGUUAUCUGAGCAAUAAGCCCCCUCAGUGUUAACUAUGUAACUACAGAAUUCACCCACCUAGAUUUUGUUAAGCAUCAAAUGAGAGAGGUUACUUUUGAUUGAAAUCCACUAAUGUUUUUUCAGAGUAGCUGCAGGUUUUACUCAUCUAUGUUUUGCACAGAACUAGCCAAUAAUGUUAGUACUCAUAAGUCUUUCUCUCUUAUGAACAUUUUGACUUUGUGAAUGUGAUUCCACGAGUUAUUGGUAUUUCUAUAUUUUUGCAAGGAAGGUAUCUCUGUGCUACAUUUAAUCAAAGAAUGAAUUAAAUUAUUGAAUUGUUUUCAGAUGUGGCAAAAAACAUUCUUGUAAAGAUUGAAAUCUACUGUCAGUCGUUUAUACAAGUAUCAUGAAUGACCUUUCCUACACAGAUGAAUACAAUUUGAGUGAAAGACCAGAAUUCAAAUAAGGUUGAUUUGUUUACUGUAAACAUGAAUAAUAUGGUGAGCAUUUACAUGUUCAUUGAGUUAUUUAUUAACAAGUUCAAAUGGAAAAUGUGAAAACACUGGCGUGUGAUUU
Molecule: long non-coding RNA, 1660 nt
Filed under: Coturnix japonica (Japanese quail)
Lineage: Eukaryota; Metazoa; Chordata; Aves; Galliformes; Phasianidae
Description: lncRNA (ENSCJPG00005016812.1)
Source: RNAcentral